UACGGAGGGUGCAAGCGUUGUUCGGAAUUAUUGGGCGUAAAGAGCGUGUAGGCGGCCGGGUAAGUCAGAUGUGAAAUCCCUUGGCUUAACCAAGGAAGUGCAUUUGAAACUGCCUGGCUUGAGUACGGGAGGGGGAAGUGGAAUUCCCGGUGUAGAGGUGAAAUUCGUAGAUAUCGGGAGGAACACCGGUGGCGAAGGCGGCUUCCUGGACCGAUACUGACGCUGAGACGCGAAAGCGUGGGGAGCAAACAGGAUUAGAUACCCUGGUAGUCCACGCUGUAAACUUUGGGCACUUGGUGUUGCGGGUAUUGACCCCUGCAGUGCCGAAGCUAACGCAUUAAGUGCCCCGCCUGGGGAGUACGACCGCAAGGUUAAAACUCAAAG
This 384-nucleotide ribosomal RNA is filed under the name uncultured bacterium. RNAcentral describes it as "bacterial SSU rRNA". It matches the Rfam family "Bacterial small subunit ribosomal RNA", at positions 524 to 906 of the family's 1533-position model. The record is from RNAcentral.